Small nuclear RNA from Stegodyphus dumicola, 107 nucleotides. NCBI's taxonomy places the organism in Eukaryota, Metazoa, Arthropoda, Arachnida, Araneae, Eresidae. The record is from RefSeq and is a predicted model, not a curated record.
GUGCUAGAAAAGCAAGUACACAUAAUAAACCAGGAGCGAUAUAGAGAAGAUUCGCAUAUCCCCUGUGCAAAGAUUACAUGCAAAAUCGCGAAGCAUUCCACAUUUUU